Molecule: ribosomal RNA, 306 nt
Filed under: uncultured bacterium
Lineage: Bacteria
Description: bacterial SSU rRNA
Rfam family: Bacterial small subunit ribosomal RNA
Source: RNAcentral
GACGAACGCUGGCGGCGUGCUUAACACAUGCAAGUCGAACGAUGAAAGGGAGCUUGCUCCCUGGAUUAGUGGCGAACGGGUGAGUAACACGUGAGUAACCUGCCCUUGACUCUGGGAUAAGCGUUGGAAACGACGUCUAAUACCGGAUAUGAACCGUGAAGGCAUCUUCUGCGGUUGGAAAGAAUUUCGGUCAAGGAUGGACUCGCGGCCUAUCAGCUAGUUGGUGAGGUAAUGGCUCACCAAGGCGACGACGGGUAGCCGGCCUGAGAGGGUGACCGGCCACACUGGGACUGAGACACGGCCCAG